ACAAGUACCGUGAGGGAAAGUUGAAAAGUACUUUGAAAAGAGAGUGCAAGAGAACGUGAAACCGUCAUAAUGGAAGCAUAUGGAGUUGACGUAUCUGUGAUGUAUUCAGUUGAAAUAUAUGCAAAUGAUUGGGUAUUUAAUUUCUAACGAGUUGAUGCUCAAUUUAUUUGUUAUAUUUUAAUGCAUUUGCAUCUGGAGUGUGCUGAAUGGUGCGGUGAUGAUAGUUGAGGUUGAUUAAGAGGACAUUAAUUUGAAACCUUGAUUUUCUUAGACUAUUUUGUUGCUGCAUUCUGUUGUUGGUUUAAACGUUAUGUGGUUGAGUGUUGAGGCUGAUUUAAGUUGUUUGCAUGCAAACGGCAUUUAUUGGUUUUAACAUUUGAUCAUAUUUCUCAACAACAUAUUUAGUAUCAUAGUCAAUGACCCAUUUGACCCGUCUUGAAACACGGACCAAGGAGUGUAACGUAAGCGCGAGUUAUUGAGUUAACUAAACUCAAAAGCGAAAUGAAAGUGAGACCCGUAGAUCGGUCAUGGUGUGAGUUUUGUGAUUUCGAUUGCUUAACAUAACACCGGCUCAUGUCGAAGACUUGUCUUGAUGUGACGCUUGAGCGUUUGCGUUGCGACCCGAAAGAUGGUGAACUGUGAUUGAACAGGAUGAAGCCAGAGGAAACUCUGGUGGAAGUCCGAAGCGGUUCUGACGUGCAAAUCGAUCGUCUGAUUUGAUUACAGGGGCGAAAGACUAAUCGAACCAUCUAGUAGCUGGUUCCUUCCGA
Molecule: ribosomal RNA, 770 nt
Filed under: Ruehmaphelenchus sp. p YF-2021
Lineage: Eukaryota; Metazoa; Nematoda; Chromadorea; Rhabditida; Aphelenchoididae
Description: partial large subunit ribosomal RNA
Rfam family: Eukaryotic large subunit ribosomal RNA
Source: RNAcentral